AAUCAACGCUGGCGGCGUGCCUCAGACAUGCAAGUCGAACGAUUAAAGCUCUCUUCGGAGAGUGCAUAAAGUGGCGCACGGGUGAGUAACACGUAAGUAAUCUACCUUCGAGUGGGGAAUAACGUCCGGAAACGGACGCUAAUACCGCAUAACGCAGCGGCAUCGCAAGAUGACAGUUGUUAAAGAUUUAUCGCUUGAAGAGGAGCUUGCGGCAGAUAGCUUGUUGGUAAGGUAACGGCUUACCAAGGCUACGAUCUGUAUCCGGUCUAAGAGGACGGUCGGACACACUGACACUGAUAACGGGUCAGACUCCUACGGGAGGCAGCAGUCGGGAAUUUUGGGCAAUGGGGGAAACCCUGACCCAGCAACGCCGCGUGAAGGAUGAAGUAUUUCGGUAUGU
RNAcentral lists this ribosomal RNA (400 nucleotides) under uncultured bacterium. Its description in RNAcentral is "bacterial SSU rRNA". It matches the Rfam family "Bacterial small subunit ribosomal RNA", at positions 32 to 426 of the family's 1533-position model. The record is from RNAcentral.